AGGAUUAACGCUGGCGGCGUGCCUGACACAUGCAAGUCGAACGAGGCCGCAAGGCCGAGUGGCGGACGGGUGAGUAACACGUGACCAACCAACCUCGAAGUUGGGAAUAGCUCUGCGAAAGUAGGGGUAAUACCGAAUGUGGCCCAGGGCGGGCAUCCGCCUUGGUCUAAAGAUUCAUCGCUUCGAGACGGGGUCGCGGCCUAUUAGCUUGUUGGUGAGGUAACGGCUCACCAAGGCGAUGAUGGGUAGCUGGUCUGAGAGGACGACCAGCCACACUGGGACUGAGACACGGCCCAGACUCCUACGGGAGGCAGCAGUGAGGAAUCUUCCGCAAUGGGCGAAAGCCUGACGGAGCAACGCCGCGUGUGGGAUGAAGACUCUAGGGUUGUAAACCACUGUCGGAGGGGACGAUCGUGACGGUACCCUCCAAGAAAGCCCCGGCUAACUACGCGCCAGCAGCCGC
Molecule: ribosomal RNA, 463 nt
Filed under: uncultured bacterium
Lineage: Bacteria
Description: SSU rRNA
Rfam family: Bacterial small subunit ribosomal RNA
Source: RNAcentral